UCAGUCACUUGUGACCAAAACACUCGCUGAGCAGCAGAGGGGGAAAGGCUCCUGGCGUCAGUGGGAAGCUGGGUUAUGUGGACUUUACGGCUCCUGCCAGCCAGGACCUUGGACUGUUCAUGCUGCCCAGGGUGCCACUCUCAGCACUCUCCUCUUCUGCUCUGCUCUCUCCAGAGGCAGCCCAGACACCCCUGCUUCAGUGACUUGGGGAACAAAUGACAUGAGGCCUCUCCCACCUGCAGAAGCCAGUGUCCACUCUGCACCCCUGGCCUUGGCAGGCUCUCCCCUCCAACACCCAGCUCGUGGCCCUUUCUUUGGAGAAAUGUCGUUGGGCUGCUGGAGCAGGCUUCCCUUCACUUGAAAAGAGCCAAAAUGCCAGGCACUUUCCCACCCCUCACUGCGGGAGGGCCCAACCACUGAUUGACACCUGCAGGGAGUCACACUCAAGAAAGUCCAACUCGCUUGCCUCAGGCCAGGAAGCAUAAGAUGUGUCCUCUUGUGUCCUCUGGUUGUGUCUCCUUGGACUUUCUUUCAGUGCCCUUAUGUCUGGCAACCGGCUUCCCGGGUAACAUCUUCAAGAGACCAUCUGGAUGUCCUUAGACUGGGACCAGGGCCGGAAAUCAAUCCACAGGGUCGCCACUGCCGCCUCCGCCCGCCAGCACUCCUGUGGACCAUCUGGGCCACCGUGGAGAAGGCUCCUGGCUGCUCCCACCAGGACACACAGGCAUCCUUCAUAUGGGGUCCAGCCGGGCCACUCGCCGGCCACAUGCCUGGGGCCAUGCCCUCCCGGUUCAACCACCUCGGCUCAGUGAGAAGCAGGUCAUUCCCACAGGAAACUUGCAUCAAACUAAAAGCAGAAAGCAGCAGUAAGGCCAAGUGCUGUUUAUAGUAUACACAGCACUUUCACAUGCGUGCAUCCAGUCGUGCCCCAUAGGCAGUCUGGGAGGUGGGCGUGACUACCACCGUCUUCGCUUACCAGCGAGGCACCUGGAGCUCAGAGAGAGCCUGCAGGCCGCCUCCCAUCUCAGCCAGUCAGAGGCGGUGGAGCAGGACUCCAAGCCAGACCUUCCGCCUCCGAUGCUGUGCUUUUUCUGAAAUAAACAGGCACGAAAAUAGAAGCAGGGGUGCAGGACAUUGGCAGAGGGAAGAUUUGUUUCCAAUUUGGUUUCAGGAGGCUGGAGCGAGACUUCUGUUUUCCAAAGCAAAGCAGAGACGGUCAGCAUUGGAAUAAGGAGCAUGAAAUCCCCCCUCAGAGGUUUCGUGUGUGCCGAGAUGAGGGCUGGCCCUCCCCACCACCAUCAUACGUUCUGGCCCUUUCCCUGGGCCAGAGGGGAGCCUACACUCUGCCAAGUUCCCCGGGCCCCCAAAGUGGCAGCAGAAUGCCCAAGGCAGGUCAUGGGGGUAUCAAGCUGUGUGCCAAUCACACAGCUCUAGACACCUUCAGAGCCCGUUGGAGCCAGCUGGGGCUUGUCAAUCCCACCCUCCUCCUCCAGGAAGCCCACCCCGUCUGCUGCCCCCUACAGGAUCUCUCUCCCCACGACUCGGCUCUCGGCAAAAUCAUUGCCAGUUUGUGCCCAGUGAAACACUACAUUAAACUUGGCACAUUGUAGC
Myotis daubentonii (Daubenton's bat) is the source of this 1611-nucleotide long non-coding RNA. RefSeq lists it as uncharacterized. The record is from RefSeq and is a predicted model, not a curated record. NCBI's taxonomy places the organism in Eukaryota, Metazoa, Chordata, Mammalia, Chiroptera, Vespertilionidae.